UGGGCUAUAGCCAAGCGGUAAGGCAACGGACUUUGACUCCGUCACUCGUUGGUUCGAAUCCAGCUGGCCCAGCCA
This 75-nucleotide transfer RNA is filed under the name Staphylococcus aureus. Its description in RNAcentral is "tRNA-Gln". It matches the Rfam family "tRNA". From Rfam's summary of the family: Transfer RNA (tRNA) molecules are approximately 80 nucleotides in length. Their secondary structure includes four short double-helical elements and three loops (D, anti-codon, and T loops). The record is from RNAcentral. Lineage: Bacteria; Bacillati; Bacillota; Bacilli; Caryophanales; Staphylococcaceae.